This 700-nucleotide ribosomal RNA is filed under the name uncultured rumen bacterium. RNAcentral describes it as "bacterial SSU rRNA". It matches the Rfam family "Bacterial small subunit ribosomal RNA", at positions 169 to 882 of the family's 1533-position model. The record is from RNAcentral.
CCGCAUAGGACCACGAGAUCGCAUGGUUUUGGGGUGAAAGGAGCAAUCCGGUGUGAGGUGGGCUCGCGUCUGAUUAGAUAGUUGGUGAGGUAACGGCUCACCAAGUCAACGAUCAGUAGCCGACCUGAGAGGGUGAUCGGCCACAUUGGGACUGAGACACGGCCCAGACUCCUACGGGAGGCAGCAGUGGGGAAUAUUGGGCAAUGGGCGAAAGCCUGACCCAGCAACGCCGCGUGAAGGAAGAAGGUUUUCGGAUCGUAAACUUCUGUCCUAUGUGAAGAGGAAGAGACGGUAGCAUAGGAGGAAGCCCCGGCUAACUACGUGCCAGCAGCCGCGGUAAUACGUAGGGGGCGAGCGUUGUCCGGAAUGAUUGGGCGUAAAGGGCGCGUAGGCGGCUUGGUAAGUCUGGAGUGAAAGUCCUGUUUUCAAGAUGGGAAUUGCUUUGGAUACUGCUUAGCUUGAGUGCAGGAGAGGUUAUCGGAAUUCCCGGUGUAGCGGUGAAAUGCGUAGAGAUCGGGAGGAACACCAGUGGCGAAGGCGGGUAACUGGACUGCAACUGACGCUGAGGCGCGAAAGUGUGGGGAGCAAACAGGAUUAGAUACCCUGGUAGUCCACACUGUAAACGAUGAAUGCUAGGUGUAAGAGGUAUCGACCCCUUUUGUGCCGGAGUCAACACAAUAAGCAUUCCGCCUGGGGAGUA